This 274-nucleotide ribosomal RNA is filed under the name uncultured bacterium. Its description in RNAcentral is "partial 16S ribosomal RNA". It matches the Rfam family "Bacterial small subunit ribosomal RNA", at positions 523 to 796 of the family's 1533-position model. The record is from RNAcentral.
AUACGGAGGGUGCAAGCGUUGUUCGGAAUUACUGGGCGUAAAGCGCGUGUAGGCGGCUAGGUAAGUCGGAUGUGAAAGCCCGGGGCUCAACCCCGGAACUGCAUCCGAAACUGCUUGGCUAGAGUCCCGGAGAGGAAGGCAGAAUUCCCAGUGUAGGGGUGAAAUCCGUAGAUAUUGGGAGGAAUACCAGUGGCGAAGGCGGCCUUCUGGACGGUGACUGACGCUCAGACGCGAAAGCGUGGGUAGCAAACAGGAUUAGAUACCCCGGUAGUCC